UUACUUUUGAACCAUAGCAUGUA
RNAcentral lists this non-coding RNA (23 nucleotides) under Cricetulus griseus (Chinese hamster). The record is from RNAcentral. Lineage: Eukaryota; Metazoa; Chordata; Mammalia; Rodentia; Cricetidae.